GCCAUCAGCACAGAGCCCGACGCGGGGCUCGAACCCACAGACCGUGAGAUCACGACCUGAGCCAAAAUCAAGAGUUGGUCGCUCAAUGCUCAACAGACGGAGCCCCCCAGGCGCCCCUGAGCAAUUCUCCUUAAACUGGAGCUUUGUGCAGGGGCAGCAUUGUAGCCAAGGAGGUUUAUCCGGGGCACGAUUAUUGCUAAUUGAAGACUUUCCCCGGGGCACCAGGCUGGCUCGGGUCAGUGGAACAUCUGACUCUUGACCUCAGGGGCGUGAGUUGGAGCCCCACGUUGGGCAUGGAGCCGACUUUGGAAAACAACGCCUUUUGGAUUCUUUGUAACUUGUUUUUCUCUCAGAAUAUUCUCCCCACGGAAGAUGCAUCCAAUUCCAAAAGUGUCCUGUGUCCUCCACCCCCCAGGAACCCUCUACUCGGGGUCCUCUCGCACCCCAAGAUACAGCAGGCUAAGACAGCGACAGAGAGUCAGGAGAAGCCCGGUGAUGCGAUUACGGCUGAGGGUCCCUGUGACUUUGUACCAAAACGUCAGCCAGGCUCAGGGUCCUUCGAAGACUUGACUGGGGCUGGGGGAUUCACAGGCCGCCAGCUGCUGCUGGCCGCGGGCAGGACGCCUGGGCUCCGGGCCACACUGACCGCCUGCCUGGCCAGGCUGCUUCAGUGUCUUCACUGCCUGGGUGGCGGCUUCCCCAGGGCGAGGGGUCUGAGACAGCAAGGUAUAUGCCAACACCCCCACUGUGCCAGGAGGUGGGGUCUCUGGGGGCCCCCUGGGGGCCUGGCCACCACGGCCACAUGGGAAUAAACCACGGCGGGAGACACUGAGGUCAGACCCAGGGCAGAACUUUCUUACUGUAGCACCAAACCCUGGAACCUUCCGGGUCUCCGGGUCCCUGCUGCAUAGUCCCUUCACGACUCUCACGGGGGCUCUACGUGGGGGACGAUUCCUCGGCGCCUAAUGGAUGGCUGACCUGGGUCUCCGAGGGGGUGAGCAACCCCUCAGAGCCACUCGCUGUAGGCCCGGAACCUUCUUUCUGAUUCCACAUCUCAGCCUUCAGCCACCCUCUGAUGCCACUGCCCACAGCGUCUUGGGUGUCAUGUGUGGUGGUCACAGCCACCAGCCUGCCCCGCCAUGGCUAUCUCUGUCCCUCCCUCCACUCCCCCGCCCCACCCCUGCCCACAUCCUGACCCCCUGCUGGUCUUGUAGGAGCUUCUCCAGGGAUGCAGAGGUCGCCAGGUCCCAGGCAGAGGCACACUUGGCCCUGGGUGCAGGGAGUGGGGGGUCCAGGGGAGAGCCCGACAUGGAUCGGGUGUGGGGGUCAGGGUCUGACGGGGAGUCCCAGCAUCCAGGGGGCCCGGUGACCUGUCAGACAGGGAGGGGGGCCUCUGUGCGGUGGGACCCACCCAAAAGGGGUUGCCUGGGCGGGGAGGGGGGUGCUGCAUGGGAGUCCUGGCAGGGGACGGCGUUCACAAAGCACGAGGCAGGCAAGAGCAGGUGCCUUCUGGGACUGCAGGAACGGUGGGCCGAGAGGCGGCUCACAGAAUAAGGUCAGUCCUUGGCCCCAGAGGACCGUGCCACCCGGAGGGAGAAGCAGCGGGCUAACCCCCCCCCCCCACCACCAGGAUGGCACCCUCGGAGUUUUCAUAGUUUGGGGCCCAUGGCGGUGGCCAGGCGGGGCCCUGCCGAGCAUUUAUCAUGGAAAACAGCUAAAGCCUUUGACCUGCAGGUACCCGGCCGAAAGUUAAUCAUUAAGGAAUGGGGCACAGAUUCAGCCAGAAGUCCACUCACCCAGCCUUGACGCAGGAAGGAGAAAGGUCAGACAACCCUAAACACCCACCAGGAGGCAACGGGUUACGUAAAUCAGGGUCCCUUCAGGCAACAGAACAUUGCGUCACCCUGGAAAUGGCGCGGGGGCCCUGGGCUCUCAGACCCGAGCUUGGUCCGUUCUAACGGAGAAGCGCGUGCCCCAGGGUCCCGGAGGAGGUCUGCCCCAGGACACAGGGGCCGCGGAGGUGCCCCUCGGGAAGUCCAAGGCGCUGGGGAAAACCAGUCUUUCUGGGGCCCAAGGGAAGCCUGUCUUUACCACGACGGUUAGACCAUCUCUGUGAUGUAGCAUCAGAAUGAACACACAGCAUUUCGGACUUCACUGCCAACUGCGGGUCCCCGAGAAUGGGACUGAGGACUCUGGUUCUACUGAGAGAAGCAGAGGUGCUCGAGGAUCUCGAGGGGAGAUCGCCCCGGAUCACCUGGACGGGCCCUGCUCCCAGCCGCUGCCCUUGCAAGAGGAGAGGACACCGUGGGGAUCCGGCUGGGGCCCGGAUAACUCCUGCCCCUGGCCCCCAUCCCCUGCAGACAGAGAUGGCCCGCGCCUGGGGAGGUGGCACUGAGCUCCUGCGGUAUCCAAACCAUCCUGCCCCGCCCCCCCCCCCCCCCCCGGAGGCCCUGAGAACUCCCAAGCUUCCUCCCCUCUCCAGAAGCCCCCCCACACUGAGAAAGUGACCCUCCUCCCUGCGUGCCCGGAGCCCCCACCCCUGCUGGGGAGGUGGCCCCCCAGAUGAGCCCCCCCCCCCGCCCCCACCUCCUUAUCCCAGCCGGAGUGAGCCCUCUGGGCCACGCACUCACCGGUCGUUGGUCUGCGCCCCAUCCACGGUGAUCCUGGGCCCUCCGGGCUGAAGUUCCACAUCCAGAGCCCUCGUCAAGGGCCCUCAGGACCCCGAGCCAGCUGAGACCUCCAACCUCACACCUGCUGUGGUGCCUGGGGUUUCAUACCUGUCCGUGGCCUCUGGGCCUCUGCAUACUCUGUUCCUCUGCUGGAACCGCACUCCUGCCCGGCCGCCCCCGUCCCUCAUCCUGGAGGUCCCAGACAUCACCCUCGCCGGGCCUGGCCUGGGUCCCCACCACAUGCUGGGCUCCUCAUUCUCACCCCCUCCCAGAACACCCACCUGAAGGGGCGACGUGGCCCCUGACCUCAGUCCAAAGGUCAGCGGGGCCCAGGGCAGUGGGAUGGGUUAUCCCUGGAAGGGCAGUCUUCCCGGGAGCCAUUUUCCCUGUGACAUACUUGUGCUCCAGACUACGGGGUACCAGCACCCGGGAGUUUUAGUCGGACGUGUGACUAUCCAGAGGAAGACGACACUUCCCAGCCAUCUUUGCAGCAAAAAAGGUCAUGUGACUAAGUUUACAGGCACUUGAACAGAAGUGAUAGAUUAUUUCCAGGUCCUUAAAGGGAGAGGCGUGCUUUUCACUUCUUUGCUCUUCCUCCGUGCUGGAGUGUGGAGGUGAUGGCUGGAGCUGUGGCAGCCAUUUUUGACCACAAGACAGAAACCAUGUCUUGAGGACUGCAGCACAGAAGGCAGGAGUUUAAGUUCCUGACAACAGGGGUUCUCAGCCCUUGGAUGCUUACCCUCUGAGCACAAUGUGAGAGAUAAAUAAACCUUUCUCCUGAUUAAGCCA
Felis catus (domestic cat) is the source of this 3458-nucleotide long non-coding RNA. RefSeq lists it as uncharacterized. The record is from RefSeq and is a predicted model, not a curated record. Lineage: Eukaryota; Metazoa; Chordata; Mammalia; Carnivora; Felidae. The transcript is spliced from 2 exons.